AAAGGAAUAGACGGGGGCCCGCACAAGCGGUGGAGCAUGUGGUUUAAUUCGAUGCAACGCGAAGAACCUUACCUGGGUUUGAAGAGUGAUGGACAGGUGGUGAAAGCCACUCUCCCCGCAAGGGGCCGUUACUUAGGUGCUGCAUGGCUGUCGUCAGCUCGUGUCGUGAGAUGUUGGGUUAAGUCCCGCAACGAGCGCAACCCUUGUUCUCAGUUACCACCAUUCAGUUGGGGACUCUGAGGAGACCGCCGGUGACAAACCGGAGGAAGGUGGGGAUGACGUCAAGUCCUCAUGGCCUUUAUGUCCAGGGCUACACACGUGCUACAAUGGACGGUACAAACCGCUGCAAGCUCGCAAGAGUAAGCCAAUCGGAUAAAACCGUUCUCAGUUCGGAUUGUGGGCUGCAACUCGCCCGCAUGAAGCUGGAAUCGCUAGUAAUCGCGGAUCAGCACGCCGCGGUGAAUACGUUCCCGGGCCUUGUACACACCGCCCGU
RNAcentral lists this ribosomal RNA (494 nucleotides) under uncultured bacterium. Its description in RNAcentral is "bacterial SSU rRNA". It matches the Rfam family "Bacterial small subunit ribosomal RNA", at positions 903 to 1397 of the family's 1533-position model. The record is from RNAcentral.